UGCAUUUGGCAUUUCCAGGGGGGUCACACU
RNAcentral lists this non-coding RNA (30 nucleotides) under Rattus norvegicus (Norway rat). The record is from RNAcentral. Lineage: Eukaryota; Metazoa; Chordata; Mammalia; Rodentia; Muridae.